RNAcentral lists this transfer RNA (87 nucleotides) under Clostridium perfringens. RNAcentral describes it as "tRNA-Leu". It matches the Rfam family "tRNA". From Rfam's summary of the family: Transfer RNA (tRNA) molecules are approximately 80 nucleotides in length. Their secondary structure includes four short double-helical elements and three loops (D, anti-codon, and T loops). Further hydrogen bonds mediate the characteristic L-shaped molecular structure. tRNAs have two regions of fundamental functional importance: the anti-codon, which is responsible for specific mRNA codon recognition, and the 3' end, to which the tRNAs corresponding amino acid is attached (by aminoacyl-tRNA synthetases). tRNAs cope with the degeneracy of the genetic code in two manners: having more than one tRNA (with a specific anti-codon) for a particular amino acid; and 'wobble' base-pairing, i.e. permitting non-standard base-pairing at the 3rd anti-codon position. Lineage: Bacteria; Bacillati; Bacillota; Clostridia; Eubacteriales; Clostridiaceae. The record is from RNAcentral.
GCAGGUGUGGCGGAAUUGGCAGCAGACGCACUAGACUUAGGAUCUAGCGCCUACGGCGUGGGGGUUCGACUCCCUUCACCUGCACCA